UGCCAGCAGCCGCGGUAAGACGAACCGUGCAAACGUUAUUCGGAAUCACUGGGCAUAAAGGGCGCGUAGGCGGCUCCAAAAGUCAGGGGUGAAAUCCAGCAGCUUAACUGUCGCAGUGCCUUUGAUACUGUGGAGCUAGAGGGAGGUAGGGGUCUGUGGAACUUCCGGUGGAGCGGUGAAAUGCGUUGAUAUCGGAAGGAACGCCGGUGGCGAAAGCGACGGACUGGAUCUCUUCUGACGCUGAGGCGCGAAAGCCAGGGGAGCAAACGGGAUUAGAUA
This 279-nucleotide ribosomal RNA is filed under the name uncultured bacterium. RNAcentral describes it as "partial 16S ribosomal RNA". It matches the Rfam family "Bacterial small subunit ribosomal RNA", at positions 506 to 784 of the family's 1533-position model. The record is from RNAcentral.